This is a non-coding RNA of Ricinus communis (castor bean), 106 nucleotides long. The record is from Rfam. Lineage: Eukaryota; Viridiplantae; Streptophyta; Magnoliopsida; Malpighiales; Euphorbiaceae.
AAACCGUGGUGGGGGCAAUAACUCAACAAGUUCUUGUACCUCCCCCAUGCAUCAUACGUACUCUCAUCAUCAAACUACAUAAAAGAGGAAAUAUAAUUAUGUAUCU